UUUUGGAAUAAGUGUGGUGUGGUACUGAUGAGAAGAAAGUAUAUUCUGUUGAUUUGGGGUGGAGAUGGGAUCUCACUGGAUUGAAAUCAAGGUAUUUGUUAGGGCUGAAUUCUCAUCUGAGGCUCAGGAUCCUCUUCCAAGCUCAUGUCACUCUUGGCAGGAUUCAGUUAUCCUGCACACACUCAUGUGAGGGGAUUCUACAGGGCACAUAUAUCAAGGGGUGAAAAUCUUGCGGGUCAUCGUAGAAUUCUGCUUACCAUUAUACCUAAUAACUGGAAGCCACCCAGAACUCUCCAUUCAUUAUCAUCACAGAGAUUCCCUCAGCCUUUCUCUUGAAUUGAAUUCUCUGUUUCCUGGACUUUGUGUCUUUUUUUUUUCUCUUGGUUUAUUCCAUAAAUUUCUAGAAGCACAUCUUCAAACAGCUUCCUGAAAAGGGGCUACAUGAGUUUUGUUUUUUAGACACUGAAAAUGGAGUUCUUGAAGUUAUUUUUCCUCAGAAUUUUUAGUGUGUUGUUGCUUCAUUGCCUUCUAGCUUCCACUAUUGUUAUUGAUAAGUUUGAUGUCUUCUUAUACUUGAUACUUUGUAUGAAACCUGUUUUUUUUUCUCCCUGAGACUUUAUAUUGUCCAUUAUCUGUCCCCAGCUUUGUGAAAUUCCUCGAUAAUGUGCCUUGGAUUUGGUCUACUUUAUCCAUUGUUCUGGGUGCUCAGUGACAUCCCUUUCUAUCAGGACAUUCAUGUUCCUCAUAGAUUCUGGAAAUUUUAUUUUGAAUUAUUUUAUUAGUGAUUUCCUUUUAUCUAUUUUCACUAUCCUCUAUUCAUAGAACUUCAAUUAUUCUUUUUUUUUUGACGGAGUCUCGCUGUGUCGCCCAGGCUGGAGUGCAGUGGCGCUAUCGUGGCUCAUUGCAACUUCUGCCUUCUGGGUUCAUGCCA
Molecule: long non-coding RNA, 931 nt
Filed under: Homo sapiens (human)
Lineage: Eukaryota; Metazoa; Chordata; Mammalia; Primates; Hominidae
Description: non-protein coding lnc-HCCS-1:1
Source: RNAcentral